RNAcentral lists this ribosomal RNA (253 nucleotides) under uncultured bacterium. Its description in RNAcentral is "partial 16S ribosomal RNA". It matches the Rfam family "Bacterial small subunit ribosomal RNA", at positions 524 to 776 of the family's 1533-position model. The record is from RNAcentral.
UACAGAGGGUGCGAGCGUUAAUCGGAAUUACUGGGCGUAAAGCGUGCGUAGGCGGUUUGUUAAGUCUGCUGUGAAAUCCCCGGGCUCAACCUGGGAAUGGCAGUGGAUACUGGCAAGCUAGAGUGUGUCAGAGGAUGGUGGAAUUCCCGGUGUAGCGGUGAAAUUCGUAGAUAUCAGGAGGAACACCAGUGGCGAAGGCGGCUUCCUGGACACCAACUGACGCUGAGACGCGAAAGCGUGGGGAGCAAACAGG